This is a small nuclear RNA of Suncus etruscus (white-toothed pygmy shrew), 107 nucleotides long. The record is from RefSeq and is a predicted model, not a curated record. NCBI's taxonomy places the organism in Eukaryota, Metazoa, Chordata, Mammalia, Eulipotyphla, Soricidae.
GUGCUUGCUUUGGUAACACAUAUACUAACAUUGGAAUGAUACAAAGAAGAUUAACAUGGGCCUUGUGCAAGGAUGACAAGCAAAUUUGUGAACCAUUCCACAUUUUU